AUGUUAUGCACCAACAACAGCCCCUUCUCUUUACCUUUAUCGUCUCAUACCUCAGUCCAUUGCUGGCUUGAAUGCUGUCUCUCUUCUUCUUUGCUCGUCAGAGUGAAUAAUAGGACGACCCACCGGGGGGAGGAUGGAAUGAGUCGGCAAGGGGAUCAACCAUCUUCUUUCAGUAAUGGCCCACACACUAUCCUUAAUAUUGGGAUAAAAGGACUCUGA
This 219-nucleotide ribosomal RNA is filed under the name Triticum aestivum (bread wheat). Its description in RNAcentral is "partial small subunit ribosomal RNA". Lineage: Eukaryota; Viridiplantae; Streptophyta; Magnoliopsida; Poales; Poaceae. The record is from RNAcentral.